AGCGAACGCUGGCGGCAGGCCUAACACAUGCAAGUCGAACGAACUCUUCGGAGUUAGUGGCGGACAGGUGAGUAACACGUGGGAACGUGCCUUUAGGUUCGGAAUAACUCAGGGAAACUUGUGCUAAUACCGAAUGUGCCCUUCGGGGAAAGAUUUAUCGCCUUUAGAGCGGCCCGCGUCUGAUUAGCUUGUUGGUGGGG
RNAcentral lists this ribosomal RNA (200 nucleotides) under uncultured bacterium. Its description in RNAcentral is "partial 16S ribosomal RNA". It matches the Rfam family "Bacterial small subunit ribosomal RNA", at positions 29 to 257 of the family's 1533-position model. The record is from RNAcentral.